UCUGCCUUACACUAAGGGAUAGCCCAGAGAAAUUUGGAUUAACACCUUAUAGUUUAUUUUUAUGGCAUCAUUUAAAUAAUAAAGUUUACGGUGUAAGAUGAGUAUGCGUCCCAUUAGUUUGUUGGUAAGGUAACGGCUUACCAAGACUACGAUGGGUAGGGGCCCUGAGAGGGGGAUCCCCCACACUGGUACUGAGACACGGACCAGACUCCUACGGGAGGCAGCAGUGAGGAAUAUUGGACAAUGGAGGAGACUCUGAUCCAGCCAUGCCGCGUGCAGGAAGACGGUCCUAUGGAUUGUAAACUGCUUUUAUACAGGAAGAAUAAGGACUACGUGUAGUCUGGUGACGGUACUGUAAGAAUAAGGACCGGCUAACUCCGUGCCAGCAGCCGCGGUAAUACGGAGGGUCCGAGCGUUAUCCGGAAUUAUUGGGUUUAAAGGGUCCGUAGGCGGGCUGUUAAGUCAGGGGUGAAAGUUUGCAGCUCAACUGUAGAAUUGCCUUUGAUACUGAUGGUCUUGAAUUAUUGUGAAGUGGUUAGAAUAUGUAGUGUAGCGGUGAAAUGCAUAGAUAUUACAUAGAAUACCGAUUGCGAAGGCAGAUCACUAACAAUUGAUUGACGCUGAUGGACGAAAGCGUGGGUAGCGAACAGGAUUAGAUACCCUGGUAGUCCACGCCGUAAACGAUGGAUACUAGCUGUUUGGAUUUCGAUCUGAGCGGCCAAGCGAAAGUGAUAAGUAUCCCACCUGGGGAGUACGUUCGCAAGAAUGAAACUCAAAGGAAUUGACGGGGGCCCGCACAAGCGGUGGAGCAUGUGGUUUAAUUCGAUGAUACGCGAGGAACCUUACCAGGGCUUAAAUGUAGAUUGACAGGUUUAGAGAUAGACUUUCCUUCGGGCAAUUUACAAGGUGCUGCAUGGUUGUCGUCAGCUCGUGCCGUGAGGUGUCAGGUUAAGUCCUAUAACGAGCGCAACCCCUGUUGUUAGUUACCAGCACAUUAUGGUGGGGACUCUAGCAAGACUGCCGGUGCAAACCGUGAGGAAGGUGGGGAUGACGUCAAAUCAUCACGGCCCUUACGUCCUGGGCCACACACGUGCUACAAUGGUAGGUACAGAGAGCAGCCACUUAGCGAUAAGGAGCGAAUCUAUAAAACCUAUCACAGUUCGGAUCGGAGUCUGCAACUCGACUCC
This 1187-nucleotide ribosomal RNA is filed under the name Cellulophaga sp. RHA_24. Its description in RNAcentral is "bacterial SSU rRNA". It matches the Rfam family "Bacterial small subunit ribosomal RNA", at positions 125 to 1319 of the family's 1533-position model. The record is from RNAcentral. Lineage: Bacteria; Pseudomonadati; Bacteroidota; Flavobacteriia; Flavobacteriales; Flavobacteriaceae.